UAUCCGUAGGUGAACCUGCGGAAGGAUCAUUAAUGAGUGAUGGCCUUCGGGUCCAACCUCCCACCCGUGUCUUACGUACCAGGUUGCUUCGGCAGGCCCGCCUCAAGGCCGAGGGGGGCGUCUCCCCACGUGCCCGUGCCUGGCGAAGACUCUCCGAACUCUGUCUGAAGAUUGCAGUCUGAGUGAAACACAAAAAUUAUAUAAAACUUUCAACAACGGAUCUCUUGGUUCCG
This 233-nucleotide unclassified non-coding RNA is filed under the name plant metagenome. RNAcentral's name for it is "partial contains small subunit ribosomal RNA, internal transcribed spacer 1, and 5.8S ribosomal RNA". The record is from RNAcentral.